This 701-nucleotide ribosomal RNA is filed under the name uncultured bacterium. RNAcentral's name for it is "bacterial SSU rRNA". It matches the Rfam family "Bacterial small subunit ribosomal RNA", at positions 68 to 762 of the family's 1533-position model. The record is from RNAcentral.
GGCAGCACGGGGGCAACCCUGGUGGCGAGUGGCGAACGGGUGAGUAAUGCAUCGGAACGUGCCCAGUAGUGGGGGAUAACUAGUCGAAAGACUAGCUAAUACCGCAUACGACCUAUGGGUGAAAGCGGGGGACCUUUACCGGCCUCGCGCUAUCGGAGCGGCCGAUGUCUGAUUAGCUAGUUGGCGGGGUAAAAGCCCACCAAGGCGACGAUCAGCAGCUGGUCUGAGAGGACGACCAGCCACACUGGGACUGAGACACGGCCCAGACUCCUACGGGAGGCAGCAGUGGGGAAUUUUGGACAAUGGGCGCAAGCCUGAUCCAGCCAUGCCGCGUGCGGGAAGAAGGCCUUCGGGUUGUAAACCGCUUUUGGCAGGAACGAAACGGCGCGAGCGAAUAUCUCGCGUUAAUGACGGUACCUGCAGAAUAAGCACCGGCUAACUACGUGCCAGCAGCCGCGGUAAUACGUAGGGUGCGAGCGUUAAUCGGAAUUACUGGGCGUAAAGCGUACGCAGGCGGCUUUGCAAGACAGGUGUGAAAUCCCCGGGCCUAACCUGGGAACUGCAUUUGUGACUGCAUGGCUAGAGUUUGUCAGAGGGGGGUGGAAUUCCACGUGUAGCAGUGAAAUGCGUAGAUAUGUGGAGGAACACCGAUGGCGAAGGCAGCCCCCUGGGAUGUGACUGACGCUCAUGUACGAAAGCGU